GCCUACGGGGGGCAGCAGUGGGGAAUAUUGCGCAAUGGGCGAAAGCCUGACGCAGCGACGCCGCGUGAGGGAUGGAGGUCUUCGGAUCGUAAACCUCUGUCAGCAGGGAAGAACGGUCACUGUGCUAAUCAGCAGUGAAUUGACGGUACCUGCAAAGGAAGCACCGGCUAACUCCGUGCCAGCAGCCGCGGUAAUACGGAGGGUGCGAGCGUUAAUCGGAAUUACUGGGCGUAAAGCGCUCGUAGGCGGUAUGUCAAGUCAAGUGUGAAAUCCCCGCGCUCAACGUGGGAACUGCCUUUGAAACU
This 305-nucleotide ribosomal RNA is filed under the name uncultured bacterium. Its description in RNAcentral is "bacterial SSU rRNA". It matches the Rfam family "Bacterial small subunit ribosomal RNA", at positions 337 to 634 of the family's 1533-position model. The record is from RNAcentral.